Molecule: long non-coding RNA, 557 nt
Organism: Rosa chinensis
Lineage: Eukaryota; Viridiplantae; Streptophyta; Magnoliopsida; Rosales; Rosaceae
Exons: 6
Source: RefSeq, a predicted model, not a curated record
GCGAUCUUUCUUUCUCUCUUCGUUCCUUCUCUUUGUUUUUGUCUCAGCUCUGCGUUUUUGGGUAAUACAACGUGAUAUAUGUUUGGCCUAGGUAUAAAAGGUCUUGGGGUGAUUGACGCGAGCAUUUCCCUCUCUGUUUCUCUCUUCGUUGUAAGCUGUCGUCUCCGUAUCUGGAGAUUCUUGGGUGUGUGGCUGAUUUGGGCGAACAGACAGAUUCUUUUGUGGCUGAUUCUUGGGAGUUUCUACAUGACUGAAGGGAAUAAGGCUUGAAGCUUUACAAACAUUGCAGCCUGGGAGAAUAGGAGCUCUUGCUUGCUUGAAAGAAAAGAAGUGGAAGGAAUUGGAGACAUCUUUAGAUCAUCGCUGGAUAUAAUUGUUUGUAAUUAGAAAGGAAUCUGUGCGAAGCCUGAACAAAACAUAGAGCAUACAUUGCUUCGUCACAUAUGACCAUAUCAAAUUACUUUCAAAAUUAGAGUUCAUGCAUCCAGACUGUGGAGACCGAAAAAGUAUAACAGUGACAUAUACGAUGGCCUCCAUUAUCUGUUAGUCGACGAAGA